This 253-nucleotide ribosomal RNA is filed under the name uncultured bacterium. RNAcentral describes it as "partial 16S ribosomal RNA". It matches the Rfam family "Bacterial small subunit ribosomal RNA", at positions 524 to 776 of the family's 1533-position model. The record is from RNAcentral.
AACGUAGGAGGCGAGCGUUAUCCGGAUUCACUGGGCGUAAAGCGCGUGUAGGUGGUUCGCCAAGUCGAAUGUUAAAGCCCCUGGCUUAACUGGGGGAGGCCAUUCGAUACUGGCGGACUUGAGGGCAAGAGAGGAGAGUGGAAUUCCCGGUGUAGCGGUGGAAUGCGUAGAGAUCGGGAGGAACACCAGUGGCGAAAGCGGCUCUCUGGCCUGUGCCUGACACUGAGACGCGAAAGCGUGGGGAGCAAACGGG